AUGAAUUGUUCUGCAAUUUUGUAUACUUAGGGCCCGUUUGUUUGACCGGAUUAGGGAGGACUGGACUGGACUGGACUGUAGUCCCUUGUUUGGUCUGUACCAGGAUUAGGUUUAAUGGGAUUAGGUCUGACUCGCUAGGAUUAAACCCCUCACUAGGAGUUCUAAGCGAAGCACCCCGAUCACCCCCGGACUCGUAAGACCUCUGCGCUCCUGCGCUCCUGCGCUCCUGCGAGAGAGAACCUCGCUCAACCUCGAUCCUCGCCGUGCUCCCUCCUUGCCCUGCUCCCUCAUCGUCGUCCUCCUCAUCCUCAUCUCUGCAUCCUGCUCGCCCUCAUCUGAGGCUUGAUUUUUUAUCGGAGAGGAUUCUUUCAUUAGCUUUUGAUGUGAUUUCAUCUCUGUUGAAACAGGGCCUGGAUGGAGAAUAGUUUCUCCACAUUUUUCAUCUCUGUUGGACUCUGCAAUCUUUCAAGCAUUGGUAAUGAAUGAAAAGGAUAUCGUAGUGUGGGAAGAAGAUGCAGAUGAGUACAUACGAAAGAAUCUUCCAUCUGACAUAGUAUGGAAAGUUUAUACCACAUUUAGUGUGUGAUAUGUAAGACAUUUUAUAUAGGUAUGAGGUAUUACUACCAGUUGCAUACUAUGUGUGUAAUAUAUGCGGCGUUGUCUUAUGCUUAAGUGCUCUGCCUAAGAUGUAAAAUUGAUGGGGUCUAUUAGAAUUAAACCAUAUUCGCCUUUUGGA
Non-coding RNA from Malus domestica (apple), 736 nucleotides. NCBI's taxonomy places the organism in Eukaryota, Viridiplantae, Streptophyta, Magnoliopsida, Rosales, Rosaceae. The record is from RefSeq and is a predicted model, not a curated record.